Molecule: long non-coding RNA, 200 nt
Organism: Juglans microcarpa x Juglans regia
Lineage: Eukaryota; Viridiplantae; Streptophyta; Magnoliopsida; Fagales; Juglandaceae
Exons: 3
Source: RefSeq, a predicted model, not a curated record
AAUGAUAGUUGCAGUUGUGAGUGCGUAAGCGGCGUACAAUCACUUUGAAAAAAGUAAAUAAAUACGGGACUCACAUGAAAAAAAUUAAUUUUUUAAUAGUGAAUUCCACUCUUUUUCAAAGUGCCUGCACGACGCUUGUGUACUCCACGACUGCAUGUAGUAUUACUCUUUUGUAAAAUAUUUUAUUAAACUUUUAUUUU